RNAcentral lists this ribosomal RNA (500 nucleotides) under uncultured bacterium. RNAcentral's name for it is "partial 16S ribosomal RNA". It matches the Rfam family "Bacterial small subunit ribosomal RNA", at positions 29 to 523 of the family's 1533-position model. The record is from RNAcentral.
AUUGAACGCUGGCGGCAUGCCUUACACAUGCAAGUCGAACGGCAGCGCGGGCUUCGGCCUGGCGGCGAGUGGCGGACGGGUGAGUAAUGCAUCGGAACGUGCCCAAGAGUGGGGGAUAACGUAGCGAAAGUUACGCUAAUACCGCAUACGUACUGAGGUAGAAAGCGGGGGAUCGAAAGACCUCGCGCUCAUGGAGCGGCCGAUGUCGGAUUAUCUAGUUGGCGGGGUAAAAGCCCACCAAGGUGACGAUCCGUAGCUGGUCUGAGAGGACGAACAGCCACACUGGGACUGAGACACGGCCCAGACUCCUACGGGAGGCAGCAGUGGGGAAUCUUGGACAAUGGGGGAAACCCUGAUCCAGCAAUGCCGCGUGUGGGAUGAAGGCCCUCGGGUUGUAAACCACUUUUGGCAGGAAAGAAAUCGCCUGUGCUAAUACCACGGGCGGAUGACGGUACCUGCAGAAUAAGCACCGGCUAACUACGUGCCAGCCGCCGCCGUAA